This 253-nucleotide ribosomal RNA is filed under the name uncultured bacterium. Its description in RNAcentral is "partial 16S ribosomal RNA". It matches the Rfam family "Bacterial small subunit ribosomal RNA", at positions 524 to 776 of the family's 1533-position model. The record is from RNAcentral.
UACGUAGGGGGCUAGCGUUGUCCGGAUUUAUUGGGCGUAAAGAGCGUGUAGGCGGCCAGGUAGGUCCGGUGUGAAAACUCGAGGCUUAACCUCGAGAUGUCAUCGGAAACCAUCUGGCUAGAGUCCGGAAGAGGAGAGUGGAAUUCCUGGUGUAGCGGUGAAAUGCGCAGAUAUCAGGAGGAACACCGGUGGCGAAGGCGGGUCUCUGGGCCGAUACUGACGCUGAGGAGCGAAAGCGUGGGGAGCGAACAGG